RNAcentral lists this long non-coding RNA (1302 nucleotides) under Marmota monax (woodchuck). The record is from RNAcentral. Lineage: Eukaryota; Metazoa; Chordata; Mammalia; Rodentia; Sciuridae.
UCUCGCCCUGAUGCUCAUCUGCCAUGAGAUGAGCAGCUUUGCUCCACAAUGUGCUUCCACAAUGAUGUUCUCCCUGGAGACAGGCUCAAAAGCUGACCAUAGACUGAAACUAUGAGCCAAAAUAAGUCUUUCCUCCUUGAAAAUUGAUUAUCUCAGGUACUUUCUUCCCAGCAAUGGAAAGCUGGCUUACAGAUGGACUGUGCUGCAUGUGGAAGGGGGAUCCUGCUGCACACCUGUGACAGUGUUGAAGGUUGCAACAUCGUCAUCCCACAUGUGGCCUGGUGGAUGUAGGAAUGAUUAUCAAGACAAGAGUCUCCCCCAGCCCCUGCCACCCAAGAGGAAGGUGACAGGAAUAUGAGUUGGAUCCUGUAGCAUCUUCCUACUAGGAGGCCUUCCUCUGACAACAGCCCUGGCGAUCUGGUUUUUACUUUUAUGAAAGGGGCUUAUAUUCUUGUGUAGGUUCCAAGAGUAUAAAGAAGGAGCAGCAAAAAGACUUGAUUUGUUUUCAGCAAUAAUUGGAAUGCUGGAGAAGGCUGCCUUUGUCUUCCUCUCUAGACGUCAGAAAUUAGAGACAGUCCUGAUGUCAUGAAGCUUGAGUGAUGUGCCCCAAACUCACGUACAUACAUAGGAACAAAAAAUUGAUAACAAGCCAAUACAUGUGAAAAUUGCCUGGGCGCAGCCCUUAUAAUUAUCCCCCAGUUUUUGUGGUAGAAAGGUGCUACAAUUUGGAUGUGUUUUGUCUGCUAAGCAUUCAUGUGUUGAAAGCUGUUCCUCAUUAGGGAAAUGUGACAAGUGGUGGAAACUUUAAGAGGUGGGACCUGCUGGGUGUGAUGGCACAUGCCUGUAAUUCCAACUGCUAGGGAAAAAAUCACAAGUUCAAAGCCAGACUCAGCAAUUUAGCAAGGCCUUAAGCAACUUAGCAAGACCCUGUCUCAAAAUAAAAAAGGGCUGGGAAUGUGGCUCAGUGGUUAAGUGCCCCUGGGUUCAGAUCCUGGUACAAAAAAAAAAAAAAGUGGGACAUAUAAUAACAUGAGUAGGUCACUAGGGGUGCUACCCUUAGAAGAGAUUAAUAUAGUUUUAAUAGGACUCUGGAUAGUACCUCUCCCUCUAGGACAUGUUUCUACCGUGAUUCUAUCCACCAUGAAGUCUUCACAAAAGGGCAAACAAAUGGAGCUAACAGGUCUUGACCUUUUAGCCUCCAAAACUGUGAGCUAAAUAAACCAUUUUUCUUUAUACAUUAUGCAGCCUCAGGUAUUUUGUUAUAGCAACAGAAAACACACUAAUGCAAAAAGAACUCUUCAA